GCACGAAAGGCGUAACGAUUUGGAUACUGUCUCGGAGAGAGGCUCGGCGAAAUAGACUUGUCUGUGAAGAUGCGGACUACCUGCACCUGGACAGAAAGACCCUAUGAAGCUUUACUGUAACUUGGAAUUGACUUUAAACUUUAUUUGCGUAGGAUAGGUGGGAGGCUGAGAAGAAAAUCUUCUGGGGUUUUUGGAGCCGUCCUUGAAAUACCACCCUAAUAAUGUGAGAAUUCUAACUUUUCACUGUAAACCAGUUGAAGGACAUUUCCAGGCGGUCAGUUUGACUGGGGCGGUCGCCU
Molecule: ribosomal RNA, 299 nt
Filed under: uncultured eukaryote
Lineage: Eukaryota
Description: partial Bacterial large subunit ribosomal RNA
Rfam family: Bacterial large subunit ribosomal RNA
Source: RNAcentral